GACGGUUUGGCCGAGUGGUCUAAGGCGCCAGAUUUAGGCUCUGGUCCGAAAGGGCGUGGGUUAAAUCCCACAGUUGUCA
Molecule: transfer RNA, 79 nt
Organism: Ipomoea nil (Japanese morning glory)
Lineage: Eukaryota; Viridiplantae; Streptophyta; Magnoliopsida; Solanales; Convolvulaceae
Rfam family: tRNA
About the family: Transfer RNA (tRNA) molecules are approximately 80 nucleotides in length. Their secondary structure includes four short double-helical elements and three loops (D, anti-codon, and T loops).
Source: Rfam